This 830-nucleotide ribosomal RNA is filed under the name uncultured bacterium. RNAcentral describes it as "bacterial SSU rRNA". It matches the Rfam family "Bacterial small subunit ribosomal RNA", at positions 87 to 952 of the family's 1533-position model. The record is from RNAcentral.
ACGAUACAGUGGCAGACGGGUGAGUAACGCGUGGGAACGUACCUUUCACUACGGAAUAGCUCUGGGAAACUGGUGGUAAUACCGUAUACGCCCUCCGGGGGAAAGAUUUAUCGGUGAAAGAUCGGCCCGCGUUGGAUUAGCUAGUUGGUGAGGUAAUGGCUCACCAAGGCGACGAUCCAUAGCUGGUCUGAGAGGAUGAUCAGCCACAUUGGGACUGAGACACGGCCCAAACUCCUACGGGAGGCAGCAGUGGGGGAUCUUGCACAACGGGCGAAAGCCUGAUGCAGCCAUGCCGCGUGAAUGAUGAAGGCCUUAGGGUUGUAAAAUUCUUUCGUCAGGGAUGAUAAUGACCGUACCUGAAGAAGAAGCCCCGGCUAACUUCGUGCCAGCAGCCGCGGUAAUACGAAGGGGGCUAGCGUUGUUCGGAAUUACUGGGCGUAAAGCGCACGUAGGCGGAUUUUUAAGUCAGGUGUGAAAUCCCGGGGCUCAACCUCGGAACUGCAUUUGAAACUGGAAGUCUUGAGACCAGGAGAGGUUAGCGGAAUACCGAGUGUAGAGGUGAAAUUCGUAGAUAUUCGGUGGAACACCAGUGGCGAAGGCGGCUAACUGGACUGGUACUGACGCUGAGGUGCGAAAGUGUGGGGAGCAAACAGGAUUAGAUACCCUGGUAGUCCACACCGUAAACGAUGAGAGCUAGUUGUUGGCAGGCAUGCCUGUCGGUGACGCAGCUAACGCAUUAAGCUCUCGCCUGGGGGAGUACGGCCGCAAGGUAAAACUCAAAGAAAUUGACGGGGGCCCGCACAGCGGGUGGGAGCAUGGUGGUUUAAUUC